GCUUGAUUUGGCCACUCAUAUACUAAAAUAGGAAUGAUACAGAGAGAUUAGCAUGGCCCCUGUGCAAGAAUGACACACAAAUUCAUGAAGCAUUCCUUUUUUUU
Molossus molossus (Pallas's mastiff bat) is the source of this 104-nucleotide small nuclear RNA. The record is from RefSeq and is a predicted model, not a curated record. NCBI's taxonomy places the organism in Eukaryota, Metazoa, Chordata, Mammalia, Chiroptera, Molossidae.